This 505-nucleotide ribosomal RNA is filed under the name uncultured bacterium. RNAcentral's name for it is "bacterial SSU rRNA". It matches the Rfam family "Bacterial small subunit ribosomal RNA", at positions 28 to 516 of the family's 1533-position model. The record is from RNAcentral.
GAUGAACGCUAGCUACAGGCUUAACACAUGCAAGUCGAGGGGCAGCAUGGUCUUAGCUUGCUAAGGCCGAUGGCGACCGGCGCACGGGUGAGUAAACACGUAUCCAACCUGCCGUCUACUCUUGGACAGCCUUCUGAAAGGAAGAUUAAUACAAGAUGGCAUCAUGAGUCCGCAUGUUCACAUGAUUAAAGGUAUUCCGGUAGACGAUGGGGAUGCGUUCCAUUAGAUAGUAGGCGGGGUAACGGCCCACCUAGUCUUCGAUGGAUAGGGGUUCUGAGAGGAAGGUCCCCCACAUUGGAACUGAGACACGGUCCAAACUCCUACGGGAGGCAGCAGUGAGGAAUAUUGGUCAAUGGGCGCAGGCCUGAACCAGCCAAGUAGCGUGAAAGGAUGACUGCCCUAUGGGUUGUAAAACUUCUUUUUAUAAGGGAAUAAAGUGUGGGACGUGUCCUAUUUUGUAUGUACCUUAUGAAAUAAAGGAUCGGCUAACUCCGUGCCAGCAGCC